UGCCUGAUUUGAAAUAGCGUC
Molecule: non-coding RNA, 21 nt
Filed under: Caenorhabditis elegans
Lineage: Eukaryota; Metazoa; Nematoda; Chromadorea; Rhabditida; Rhabditidae
Source: RNAcentral